AGGAGGUCCUGCUGGCAGAGGUUGUCUGCCAGCAUAAAGAACUACGUCUGAAGAGUACAGUCAUGGACAAUGUGGAAUAUGAUAAACAGAUUACCGAGAAUAUCCUUCUGGUACCAAUAAAAUGCGAGAUCAAUCCCAGUGAAAGUAAUUCUGACUGUAAUUCUCAGUCAAUGAGAACAGACAAGAAUGAUUAUAACGAACAUGGAAAGGCCUUUGAAAAGAUUAAAGUUAGAGGAGAAACACAGGUUUCUUCAGAGUUUGCUGCUGCUGCAAAUGCAGAAUGUGAUUCAGGGCAGUUGCCAGACAAGCAAAAUUCAUCCUGUAGUAAUAUCCACAAAUGUGGAGUUUGCGGGAAGGAGUUUUCCCGAAAGUCAGACUUUACGGUCCACCAACGUAUACAUACAGGUGAAAGGCCAUACAAAUGUUCAUAUUGCACCAAGGGUUUCUGUCAGGCUUCCAUGGUCCGUAGACAUGAGAGGACACAUACAGGGGAAAAACCCUAUCAAUGUACAGACUGUAACAAGUCCUUUUCUCGUUCAACAUCUCUCUUGAUCCACAGGAGUAAGCAUACAGGAGAAAAGUCAUACCAAUGUGAUUGUGGAAAGACAUUUAGCAGUAGAAUACUUCUUCAAAGGCAUCGCCAUACCCAUAUGUUUGACCCACACCAUUGCAAGAUUUGUGGGGAAGUAUUCAAGAACCAGUUGGAUCUUCAGGUGCAUAAAAGCAGCCAGCAUCCCGAAAAGUACUACAAUUGCUCCCAGUGUGGAAAAUGUUUUACUCGCCUGCACUUACUUAAAAACCACCUAAAGAGCCAUGUAGAGAUUCAUCCUAAGAAAAACACAAAGAUAGCCAAGAAAACAUCUAGUGACCUAUCAGAAAAACCUCACAAAAAAUUAGAUGGUAAACAACCCAAACCUGCAGACAUAAAAGUUACUAUGAAGAACCCUACAGCCCUUGUAAGAACUGAAACAUGUCCCUCGGUCUGUCCAGAAUGUGGUAAGACGUUCACCAACCCUACUGCAUUGCACAAACACCAGCUAAUCCAUAAGCAAGGAUCUCUCAUAUGUGCAGAGUGUGGGAAGACUUUUGUUCGAAAGUCUGACUUGACUGUACAUUUACGGAUACAUUCGGGGGAAAGACCAUACAAGUGCUCAUACUGUGGAAAGGGAUUUUGUCAGACAUCUAUGUUAAGACGUCAUGAAAGAACACACACAGGGGAAAAGCCAUAUCAGUGUUCAGACUGUGAUAAAUCUUUCUCUCGUGCUACGUCUUUGCUUAUUCACAGGAGUUCCCACAUCAAAGACAAGCCAUUUAGGUGCAAGUCUUGUGACUCAACUUUCUCCAACACCACUCAGCUACGCCAGCAUACCAAGACACACAGAUUUUCUUCACCCCCACAGAGUGAUAUGUGCAACAAAUGCAGAGAUGGGAUGUAUGUCUGCAACAUGCAUUGCUCUGUUAAAACCAGCGAAGACCCCUUCCUUUGCUCUGACUGUGGGAGAACUUUCAGCAGUGACUCAGGUCUCCAGAGGCACUUGCUUACACAUGUACAGCAGCCAUUUCCUUGUAAGGUCUGCAGUGAAGUCUUCAAUAGCCGCUUUGAUUUUCGGAUACACCAACGCAGUCAUCCACCAGAUAGACCAUUCAUUUGCGCCCAGUGUGGUAAAUGCUUUCCCCGUCUUAAUCUUCUUCGCAUCCACCAGAAUACUCACACAGGUUACCGACCCUAUGAAUGUUCACUUUGCAAAAAGACAUUUUCAGACCCAUCCACUCUGAGACAGCACCGCCAGAGACAUCGAGGAGUGAAAUUCUCUCCAUGUAAAGAGAAGCAUAGUGAAACACUACAGGAGAACGUUAAGCCUCCUGUGCUCAUUGAAGAAUGUCACUCAAUAUGUCCUGAGUGUGGAAAAGCAUUAAACAGCCCUACCGCUCUUCAGAAACACCAGCAAUCUCAUGAGAAAGAGUUACUUCUCUGUGCAGAGUGCGGCAAAAACUUUGCUAGAAAGUCAGACUUAACCGUGCACUUGAGAAUACAUACAGGUGAGAGGCCCUAUAAGUGCUCAUAUUGUGGGAAAGGUUUCUGUCAGGCCUCCAUGGCACGCCGGCAUGAAAGGACCCACACAGGCGAGAAACCUUACCAGUGCUCAGACUGUGAUAAAUGCUUCUCGCGCUCCUCUUCCCUUCUAAUCCACAGGACCAAACAUAUAGAUGAGAAACCAUUCAAAUGUGUUUCUUGUGAUCAAACCUUCUCCAAUCCAAGCCAGCUGCGCAUGCACUCUAAGAUUCAUGAUGAGAACCCAAGUGUUAAUGAACCAAAGUAAAAAGCUCUGUAAAAAAAAGCGAAACACAAAAUCACUUUAUAGUGCUGCUGAAUGCAAAUAUCUGCAAUGUCAGUUUAAUGUAGAUCAUCCUUCUAUAAGCAGAAAAAUGACAUGGUACCAAUACAGUAUAAAUUAUACAGUUUUACCUAUUCAUUGUGUCUACAAGUACACAUGUUAAAAGCUAUAUAUACCUGAAGUUGUGCAUUUUACAUAAUUGAAGAAUAACUAGAAUUGCAUUUUGGGACUGCUCACAAGCAUCGUGCCUACUUCUGGCAUAGAUGUAGCAUAAAGAGGGAUUGCUAGGUUCUUAAACCUCCCCACCUUCUCUAAAACCCUUUGUGUCUCUCUCCCCAGUUCCCUAAAUCCUCUUUUGUUUCUUUCCCCUAAAUCCUCUUUUGUUUCUUUCCCCACUCCCCUAAAUUCCCCUAUGUCUUACACCCUAUAUGACCUAAGCCCUACUGCUACUUGACUCUAGCAGUAGAAGGACCGUGUCAAGACCUGUUCCAUUCUGCGGAUAUGUCUGGCCUUAGCUUCUGUUAUCCAGUACUCUUUUUACAAUUCUUGUUUAGUUUUUCUUGGUUUUUCUGGUUUUCUAUUCUAUGUCUGGUUAUCUUUAUGCUGGGUUUUCUCGGUUCAUUCCUUUAUUCCGUUCCUGGAAUUCCCAGUCUCCUGGAUUCCUUUAAAUGUUUGUUUUUUGUUGCCACACCCGUUCCUUUGCCAUUAAUCCUUUUUGUUUCAGUCUGUUCCUGCAGGCAGUGGUUUAACUUCCUCUUCUCCUUUAUUUGCAGGUAAGUAUUGUUUGUGUUUUAAUGUUGUUUAUUUAGUCAUGCAUAUCUAGGCAGUUAGGACCCACCGUAAUUGGAGUACUUUGGCGCAGUGGUGGUCUGCAUUCAUCUUG
This is a non-coding RNA of Pelobates cultripes (western spadefoot toad), 3219 nucleotides long. The record is from the annotation of a GenBank genome assembly. Lineage: Eukaryota; Metazoa; Chordata; Amphibia; Anura; Pelobatidae.